Molecule: non-coding RNA, 184 nt
Organism: 'Nostoc azollae' 0708
Lineage: Bacteria; Bacillati; Cyanobacteriota; Cyanophyceae; Nostocales; Nostocaceae
Rfam family: 6S / SsrS RNA
About the family: E. coli 6S RNA was the first non coding RNA to be sequenced, but its function was unknown until recently. It consists of 184 nucleotides that fold into an extended hairpin structure with a large single-stranded internal bulge. The 6S RNA specifically associates with RNA polymerase holoenzyme containing the sigma70 specificity factor.
Source: Rfam
GUUGCACUGCGACGUUGGUGACUGCCCUCAAGUUUUUUGAUCUAUGUCUUUAAAGAAAAGGGAGCAAGUCAGUUCUUGUGGCAGUAAACCGGGCCUGUACCCGGAAACUUUAAACGAGAAACUACCGCUCCCACCUGGUUGAACCAGGUCAUAAACUUAGGUAAAACGGCGUUGUGGUGAACUU